UACGGGGGGGGCAAGCGUUGUUCGGAAUUACUGGGCGUAAAGGGCUCGUAGGUGGCCAACUAAGUCAGACGUGAAAUCCCUCGGCUUAACCGGGGAACUGCGUCUGAUACUGGAUGGCUUGAGUUUGGGAGAGGGACGCGGAAUUCCAGGUGUAGCGGUGAAAUGCGUAGAGAUGUGGAGGAACACCGAUGGCGAAGGCAGCCUUCUGGGCCAACACUGACGCUCAUGCACGAAAGCGUGGGGAGCAAACAGG
RNAcentral lists this ribosomal RNA (253 nucleotides) under uncultured bacterium. RNAcentral's name for it is "partial 16S ribosomal RNA". It matches the Rfam family "Bacterial small subunit ribosomal RNA", at positions 524 to 776 of the family's 1533-position model. The record is from RNAcentral.